UAACGCGAAGAACCUUACCAAGGCUUGACAUACACCGGAAACGGCCAGAGAUGGUCGCCCCCUUGUGGUCGGUGUACAGGUGGUGCAUGGUUGUCGUCAGCUCGUGUCGUGAGAUGUUGGGUUAAGUCCCGCAACGAGCGCAACCCUCGUUCUAUGUUGCCAGCGCGUUAUGGCGGGGACUCAUAGGAGACUGCCGGGGUCAACUCGGAGGAAGGUGGGGAUGACGUCAAAUCAUCAUGCCCCUUAUGUCUUGGGCUUCACGCAUGCUACAAUGGCCGGUACAAAGGGCUGCGAUACCGUAAGGUGGAGCGAAUCCCAAAAAGCCGGUCUCAGUUCGGAUUGAGGUCUGCAACUCGACCUCAUGAAGUCGGAGUCGCUAGUAAUCGCAGAUCAGCA
Molecule: ribosomal RNA, 396 nt
Filed under: uncultured bacterium
Lineage: Bacteria
Description: bacterial SSU rRNA
Rfam family: Bacterial small subunit ribosomal RNA
Source: RNAcentral